This 438-nucleotide ribosomal RNA is filed under the name Parasergestes armatus. RNAcentral describes it as "partial large subunit ribosomal RNA". Lineage: Eukaryota; Metazoa; Arthropoda; Malacostraca; Decapoda; Sergestidae. The record is from RNAcentral.
UCUUUUAAUUGAAGGCUUGUAUGAAUGGUCGGACAAAAAGUGAGCUGUCUACAAUUAUAAAAAUUGAAUCUGACCUUUAAGUGAAAAGGCUUAAAUAUAACAAAGUGACGAUAAGACCCUAUAAAGCUUUAAAGCUUGAAUUUUUUAUUACAAAUUAUUAAAUCAUAUAACUUAAUCUAAAAGGAAGCUUUUUUGUUGGGGCGACAAAAAUAUAAAUAAAUAACUGUUUUUGUUUYAAYAAAACAACGAUAAUUGGACUAAAAAAUGAUCCUUUAUUAAAGAUUAAAAGAUUAAGUUACUUUAGGGAUAACAGCGUAAUCUUCUUUGAGAGUUCAUAUCGACAAGAAGGGUUGCGACCUCGAUGUUGAAUUAAGGUUCCUUUAUGGUGUAGCAGUUAUAACAGGAGGUCUGUUCGACCUUUAAAUCCUUACAUGAUUU